UACGUAGGGUGCAAGCGUUGUCCGGAAUUAUUGGGCGUAAAGAGCUCGUAGGCGGUCUGUCACGUCUGCUGUGAAAACUCGGGGCUUAACCCCGGGCCUGCAGUGGGUACGGGCAGACUAGAGUGCGGUAGGGGAGACUGGAAUUCCUGGUGUAGCGGUGAAAUGCGCAGAUAUCAGGAGGAACACCGGUGGCGAAGGCGGGUCUCUGGGCUGUAACUGACGCUGAGGAGCGAAAGCGUGGGGAGCGAACAGG
This 253-nucleotide ribosomal RNA is filed under the name uncultured bacterium. RNAcentral's name for it is "partial 16S ribosomal RNA". It matches the Rfam family "Bacterial small subunit ribosomal RNA", at positions 524 to 776 of the family's 1533-position model. The record is from RNAcentral.